Neofelis nebulosa (Clouded leopard) is the source of this 441-nucleotide long non-coding RNA. RefSeq lists it as uncharacterized. The transcript has 3 exons. Lineage: Eukaryota; Metazoa; Chordata; Mammalia; Carnivora; Felidae. The record is from RefSeq and is a predicted model, not a curated record.
CAGACUUGAAACUAGAACUUAUCUGAAGUUUCCAAAUCUAUGUUGAAAGGAAGAGGAUUCUGAAAGCCCCAGACUUUUUAAGGAACAUGGCAAAUAACAAGUGUGACUGUGAAGUGAACCUAUGACUGGAAACUGAAGCCAGAAUCUCUGCAUUCCUUGCAAGUACCCAUGGUUCCUUUAAUUAUACUCCGGGCUUGUAAACAGGAAAGUGUUUCACAGAUGUAGAAAAUCCAAGAGAUUUUAAAGAUGGGAGAAUGAUGUUCAGUUUCCCUGUGUGACAAAGCUUGGAAAAUGGAAUAAAGGAACUGCCUCAUGGGAGAGAGUGAGGCUGAAGCCGUCGCACAGAAGCAGCAGAGCUGGAAGCAGAAAGGUCAGAGCCCCAAGGGCUUUCAAUUCCAUCUCUUGUUGCUCCUAAGUACAAUCCAGCCUUUUCUAGUUACA